This 73-nucleotide transfer RNA is filed under the name Stegodyphus mimosarum. It matches the Rfam family "tRNA". From Rfam's summary of the family: Transfer RNA (tRNA) molecules are approximately 80 nucleotides in length. Their secondary structure includes four short double-helical elements and three loops (D, anti-codon, and T loops). The record is from Rfam by way of RNAcentral. Lineage: Eukaryota; Metazoa; Arthropoda; Arachnida; Araneae; Eresidae.
GCCUUCGUGGUGUAGUGGUCAGCACACUGGACGCGUAAACCAGAGGUCCGUGGUUCGCGUCCCGGCUAAGGCG